Molecule: ribosomal RNA, 305 nt
Filed under: uncultured bacterium
Lineage: Bacteria
Description: bacterial SSU rRNA
Rfam family: Bacterial small subunit ribosomal RNA
Source: RNAcentral
UUUUCCUACGGGACGCAGCAGUGGGGAAUAUUGGGCAAUGGGCGCAAGCCUGACCCAGCAACGCCGCGUGAAGGAAGAAGGCUUUCGGGUUGUAAACUUCUUUUGUAAGGGACGAAGCAAGUGACGGUACCUGACGAAUAAGCCACGGCUAACUACGUGCCAGCAGCCGCGGUAAUACGUAGGUGGCAAGCGUUGUCCGGAUUUACUGGGUGUAAAGGGCGUGCAGCCGGGAAGACAAGUCAGAUGUGAAAUCCCGCGGCUCAACCGCGGAACUGCAUUUGAAACUGUUUUUCUUGAGUACCGGA